AUAAACCGGAGGAAGUGGGGAUGACGUCAAGUCAGCAUGGCCUUUAUAUCCUGGGCUACACACACGCUACAAUGGGAAGGGACAAUAGGUUGCGAAGCCGCGAGGUGGAGCCAAUCCAGUAAAACUUCCCUCAGUUCAGAUUGCAGGCUGCAACUCGCCUGCAUGAAGUUGGAGUUGCUAGUAAACGCAGGUCAGCCAUACUGCGUUGAAUACGUUCCCGGGGCUU
RNAcentral lists this ribosomal RNA (226 nucleotides) under uncultured Anaerolineaceae bacterium. RNAcentral describes it as "partial 16S ribosomal RNA". It matches the Rfam family "Bacterial small subunit ribosomal RNA", at positions 1158 to 1382 of the family's 1533-position model. Lineage: Bacteria; Bacillati; Chloroflexota; Anaerolineae; Anaerolineales; Anaerolineaceae. The record is from RNAcentral.